RNAcentral lists this long non-coding RNA (1358 nucleotides) under Mytilus galloprovincialis (Mediterranean mussel). The record is from RNAcentral. Lineage: Eukaryota; Metazoa; Mollusca; Bivalvia; Mytilida; Mytilidae.
UGACCAAACAAUAUGCGCUAAAUAUGAUCAUCAUCUACAACUUUGUAACAUUUCAUUUGAAUUCUAUCUAGCUAUUUCCACUGGGGUAAAGCUGAUGACUGUAACUGCAUUCACGGUCAUCCCAAGAUGUCGGACGAAAAAUUAGGUCAGUUUCUGUAUUGUCUGUUUAAGUGUUUCUAUAUCAUUUUCUUUACAAUUCAUACAUUGAAACGAUGUAAAUUUAUAAAAGAAUCACUCGGAAAUCACUGAUUACUUCCGGGAAAUGUGCAUGAAACGGGAAAUUCGAUUUGAAAAAAUCGCUCAGAUGACCGUAAAUCACAAUCGAGAUGACCGUAACAGAAUCAGCGAUUCAUAACAAGGGUGACCGUAAUUGCUUUUAAGAUGACCUUAAUUUGUAAAUGAUGAUCGUAAUUUUUAAAGGAUGACCCUCAGUUCUAAGAAAUAUCCGUAUUUAUAUAAUUACCUUUUUGUAUCAAAUGGUUAAUCGUGUUGGUAUAAACAUAUUAAUAUUAGAGUAUUAUCCUAUAGGUAGAAGAAAAUAAGUCGUGCUUCAAAUGCAAAGAUUACCAUAUGUAUCCUUUUUACAGUAGAGGGUUUAAUUUUUAAAAUGACUUUGCAAAAUGACAUGCUACAAAAGCGCGAUAAAAUGACACCUCACAAGUAUAUUGAAAAAAAUGCGGUGCACAACCUCCAACUGCUCGACAAAAGAUUUUUUUUAUUUCUGGGAUUCAUUUUAAUGACAUAUAAUAAAUACACAUUUUUAAAAAUGUCAAUGCAUGUAAACCCAUUGAUAUUAUAUCGUCUUUCAUUUUGUCGUGCAAAUAAAAUAACAGAAAUAUUUUGAAAAUAUUAUACGACUAAACUAUUGAAGGUGAGCUCCAUCAAAGAAGAUCCUUAAAAUAGUCUUGUACGAAUAGCGUAUCACAACGCGGAACGUUGUCAAUACGUUGUUCAAAACAGAAACUGACCUAAUUUUUCGUCCGACAUCUUGGGAUGACCGUGAAUGCAGUUACGGUCAUCAGCUUUACCCAAGUGUAUUUCUGAGUUUUUGCGCUUACAACAUCUACAAAUAAAAAGGAACAGACAGCAUGCAGACGGGCAGACAAUUAGAUGGAUAAACGCAGUUUUAUUUCUAUUACCAUAAACAUAAAACGAAAUAUGGCUUUAGUUUUUUUUCAAAUUCGUAUGCGCUAAUAUAAAUAUGUUGUAAAGUGUUCAACUUCAAAGCCAGACGAAACAUUAAUAACAAUUUUCAUAAUUCGAAUGAAAAUGAGUUUGGUGUCGUUAUAUCUAUUGUACAUUGUACUCACCAAAAAUAUAAAAUUUUGAAGAUUUGAUUUUCAUUCGCAGCAGAUUUU